RNAcentral lists this long non-coding RNA (241 nucleotides) under Elaeis guineensis (African oil palm). RNAcentral describes it as "long non-coding RNA (EGUI_LNC007539)". The record is from RNAcentral. Lineage: Eukaryota; Viridiplantae; Streptophyta; Magnoliopsida; Arecales; Arecaceae.
CCUUCCUUCCCCUAUUCGUAGCUGGAAAUACCAUUUUUUUUUGUCUGAGCCCUCAUUCCAUGGGAUUUUAAAUCUUCUUGGAGGCGCCUAGAUACCAAGUGAAACUCCCAUUAUGAAAUUCACUUCGGGGAUGAAGAGGCUCAUACAUCUCUAAUUGCCACGGUAGCGCCUAAGCUAUCAAGGCUAGUUAAUGAUCAGGCAUUGUAUGAUACUGGAAUCAGUCUGUACUCUUCUCAGGAUC